AGUCGAGCGAUGAAGUUUCUUCGGAAAUGGAUUAGCGGCGAACGGGUGAGGAACACGUGAAGAAUCUGCCCUCCACUUUGGGAUAACACCGGGAAACCGGUGCUAAUACCGAAUAUUGAAACAUAAGUGGCAUCACUGAGUUUUGAAAGAAUUUCGGUGGAGGAUGACUUCGCGGCCUAUCAGCUAGUUGGUGAGGUAAUGGCUCACCAAGGCAACGACGGGUAGCCGGCCUGAGAGGGCGACCGGCCACACUGGGACUGAGACACGGCCCAGACUCCUACGGGAGGCAGCAGUGGGGAAUAUUGGGCAAUGGAGGAAACUCUGACCCAGCGACGCCGCGUGCGGGAUGAAGGCCUUCGGGUUGUAAACCGCUUUCAGUAGGGAAGAAGCGAAAGUGACGGUACCUACAAAAGAAGCACCGGCUAACUAUGUGCCAGCAGCCGCGGUAAUACAUAGGGUGCAAGCGUUGUCCGGAAUUAUUGGGCGUAAAGAGCUCGUAGGUCGUUUGUUACGUCGGAUGUGAAAACCUGAGGCUCAACCUCAGGCCUGCAUUCGAUACGGGCAAACUAGAGUUUGGUAGGGGAGACUGGAAUUCCUGGUGUAGCGGUGGAAUGCGCAGAUAUCAGGAGGAACGCCAAUGGCGAAGGCAGGUCUCUGGGCCAAUACUGACACUGAGGAGCGAAAGUCUGGGGAGCGAACAGGAUUAGAUACCCUGGUAGUCCAGACCGUAAACGGUGGGCACUAGUUGUGGGGACCUUCCACGGUUUCUGCGACGCAGCUAACGC
RNAcentral lists this ribosomal RNA (785 nucleotides) under uncultured Actinomycetes bacterium. RNAcentral describes it as "bacterial SSU rRNA". It matches the Rfam family "Bacterial small subunit ribosomal RNA", at positions 60 to 858 of the family's 1533-position model. The record is from RNAcentral. Lineage: Bacteria; Bacillati; Actinomycetota; Actinomycetes.